Molecule: ribosomal RNA, 464 nt
Filed under: uncultured bacterium
Lineage: Bacteria
Description: partial 16S ribosomal RNA
Rfam family: Bacterial small subunit ribosomal RNA
Source: RNAcentral
GACGAACGCUGGCGGCGUGCUUAACACAUGCAAGUCGAACGGAAAGGCCCUGCUUGCAGGGUACUCGAGUGGCGAACGGGUGAGUAACACGUGGGUGAUCUGCCCUGCACUUCGGGAUAAGCCUGGGAAACUGGGUCUAAUACCGGAUAGGAGCCAUUUUUAGUGUGAUGGUUGGAAGGUUUUUUCGGUGUAGGAUGAGCUCGCGGCCUAUCAGCUUGUUGGUGGGGUAAUGGCCUACCAAGGCGGCGACGGGUAGCCGGCCUGAGAGGGUGGACGGCCACAUUGGGACUGAGAUACGGCCCAGACUCCUAGGGAGGCAGCAGUGGGGAAUAUUGCACAAUGGGCGCAAGCCUGAUGCAGCGACGCCGCGUGGGGGAUGACGGCCUUCGGGUUGAAAACUCCUUUCGCUAGGGACGAAGCUUUUUGUGACGGUACCUAGAUAAGAAGCACCGGCUAACUACGUG